ACUCCUACGGGAGGCAGCAGUGGGGAAUUUUGGACAAUGGGGGCAACCCUGAUCCAGCAAUGCCGCGUGAGUGAAGAAGGCCUUCGGGUUGUAAAGCUCUUUUGUCAGGGAAGAAACAGCAGCUCUAACACAGUUUGCGAAUGACGGUACCUGAAGAAUAAGCACCGGCUAACUACGUGCCAGCAGCCGCGGUAAUAC
Molecule: ribosomal RNA, 198 nt
Filed under: uncultured bacterium
Lineage: Bacteria
Description: partial 16S ribosomal RNA
Rfam family: Bacterial small subunit ribosomal RNA
Source: RNAcentral